GUCGCUACUACCGAUUGAAUGAUUUAGUGAGCCUCAGGGACUGAUGCACUUGAAGGGUUUCCUUCAUGCGCAUCUGGGAACUGAGUCAAACUUGACCAUUUAGAGGAAGUAA
RNAcentral lists this ribosomal RNA (112 nucleotides) under uncultured eukaryote. RNAcentral's name for it is "partial small subunit ribosomal RNA". It matches the Rfam family "Eukaryotic small subunit ribosomal RNA", at positions 1675 to 1785 of the family's 1831-position model. The record is from RNAcentral.